UGGUCUAUGAUGACAAACAUAUGUCAUGAAGACAGGUGAUGGCAUAAAAAUCAUGCUCAGGUUCCGGAUGCUGAGGCCC
This is a non-coding RNA of Mesocricetus auratus (golden hamster), 79 nucleotides long. Lineage: Eukaryota; Metazoa; Chordata; Mammalia; Rodentia; Cricetidae. The record is from Rfam.